CCAAUAGCGUAUAUUAAAGUUGUUGCAGUUAAAAAGCUCGUAGUUGAAUUUCGGGAUCAGUACGCUGGUCGUGCCUUUGGUAUGUACUGGUGUCACUGAUUCCUCCCUUCUGAAGCACCGUUAUGCCAUUUCUUUGGUGUGGCGGGAAAUCAGGACUGUUCCUUUGAAAAAAUUUGAGUGUUUAAAGCAGGCUCGCGCUUGAAUACAUUAGCAUGGAAUAAUGGAAUAGGACGUUUGAUCUUAUUUUGUUGGUUUCUAGGAUCGACGUAAUGAUUAAUAGGGAUAGUUGGGGGCAUUAGUAUUCAAUUGUCAGAGGUGAAAUUCUUGGAUUUAUUGAAGACUAACUACUGCGAAAGCAUUUGCCAAGGAUGUUUUCAUUAAUCAAGAACGAAAGUUAGGGGAUCGAAGACGAUCAGAUAUCGUCGUAGUCUUAACCAUAAACUAUGCCGACUAGGGAUCGGAUGAUGUUAAUUUUUUAAUGACUCAUUCGGCGCCUUACG
This 500-nucleotide ribosomal RNA is filed under the name uncultured Glomeromycotina. Its description in RNAcentral is "partial small subunit ribosomal RNA". It matches the Rfam family "Eukaryotic small subunit ribosomal RNA", at positions 591 to 1092 of the family's 1831-position model. The record is from RNAcentral. Lineage: Eukaryota; Fungi; Glomeromycota.